CCUACGGGCGGCUGCAGUGAGGAAUAUUGGUCAAUGGGCGCGAGCCUGAACCAGCCAAGUAGCGUGAAGGAUGACUGCCCUACGGGGUGUAAACUUCUUUUAUAAAGGAAUAAAGUGAGGCACGUGUGCCUUUUUGUAUGUACUUUAUGAAUAAGGAUCGGCUAACUCCGUGCCAGCAGCCGCGGUAAUACGGAGGAUCCGAGCGUUAUCCGGAUUUGUUGGGUUUAACGGGAGCGUAGAGGGGUUGUUAAGUCAGUUGUGAAAGUUUGCGGCUCAACCGUAAAAGUGCAAUUGAUACUGGCAGCCUUGAGUACAGUUGAGGUAGGCGGACUUCGUGUUGUCGCGGU
This 347-nucleotide ribosomal RNA is filed under the name uncultured bacterium. RNAcentral describes it as "partial 16S ribosomal RNA". It matches the Rfam family "Bacterial small subunit ribosomal RNA", at positions 338 to 682 of the family's 1533-position model. The record is from RNAcentral.